This 253-nucleotide ribosomal RNA is filed under the name uncultured bacterium. RNAcentral's name for it is "partial 16S ribosomal RNA". It matches the Rfam family "Bacterial small subunit ribosomal RNA", at positions 524 to 776 of the family's 1533-position model. The record is from RNAcentral.
UACAGAGGUCUCAAGCGUUGUUCGGAUUCAUUGGGCGUAAAGGGUGCGUAGGUGGGCAGGUAAGUCAGUGGUGAAAUCUCCGGGCUUAACUCGGAAACUGCCAUUGAUACUAUCUUUCUUGAAUACCGUGGAGGUCAGCGGAAUAUGUCAUGUAGCGGUGAAAUGCUUAGAUAUGACAUAGAACACCAAUUGCGAAGGCAGCUGGCUACACGAAUAUUGACACUGAUGCACGAAAGCGUGGGGAUCAAACAGG